This 292-nucleotide ribosomal RNA is filed under the name uncultured bacterium. RNAcentral's name for it is "partial 16S ribosomal RNA". It matches the Rfam family "Bacterial small subunit ribosomal RNA", at positions 333 to 622 of the family's 1533-position model. The record is from RNAcentral.
GUGGGCCUACGGGGCGCAGCAGUGAGGAAUAUUGGUCAAUGGGAGAGAUCCUGAACCAGCCAAGCCGCGUGAGGGAAGACGGCCCUAUGGGUUGUAAACCUCUUUUGUCGGAGAACAAAACCCGGGACGUGUCCCGGACUGCGUGUAUCCGAAGAAAAAGCAUCGGCUAACUCCGUGCCAGCAGCCGCGGUAAUACGGAGGAUGCGAGCGUUAUCCGGAUUUAUUGGGUUUAAAGGGUGCGUAGGCGGUCCGUUACGUCAGCGGUAAAAUUGCGGGGCUCACCCCCGUCGUG